UACGUAGGGGGCAAGCGUUGUCCGGAUUUAUUGGGCGUAAAGGGCGGGUAGGCGGCCACCGCAAGUCAGUUGUGAAAUCUCUGGGCUUAACCCAGAAAGGUCAACUGAUACUGCGGGGCUAGAGUGCAGAAGGGGCAACUGGAAUUCUCGGUGUAGCGGUGAAAUGCGUAGAUAUCGAGAGGAACACCUGCGGCGAAGGCGGGUUGCUGGGCUGACACUGACGCUGAACUGCGAAAGCUAGGGGAGCGAACGGG
This 254-nucleotide ribosomal RNA is filed under the name uncultured bacterium. Its description in RNAcentral is "partial 16S ribosomal RNA". It matches the Rfam family "Bacterial small subunit ribosomal RNA", at positions 524 to 776 of the family's 1533-position model. The record is from RNAcentral.